RNAcentral lists this non-coding RNA (45 nucleotides) under Schistosoma curassoni. Lineage: Eukaryota; Metazoa; Platyhelminthes; Trematoda; Strigeidida; Schistosomatidae. The record is from RNAcentral.
AUUCACUUGACGAGUCUCAAAUAGGACGAAACACGCGUCCUGGAU